Molecule: ribosomal RNA, 465 nt
Filed under: uncultured bacterium
Lineage: Bacteria
Description: partial 16S ribosomal RNA
Rfam family: Bacterial small subunit ribosomal RNA
Source: RNAcentral
CCUACGGGUGGCAGCAGUAGGGAAUCUUCGUCAAUGGGCGCAAGCCUGAACGAGCGAUGCCGCGUGAGUGAAGAAGGCCUUCGGGUCGUAAAGCCCUGUUGCGGGGGAAAAAAAGCAGCAUCAGGAAAUGGGUGCUGACUGAUGGUGCCCCGCCAGAAAGUCACGGCUAACUACGUGCCAGCAGCCGCGGUAAUACGUAGGUGGCGAGCGUUAUCCGGAAUGAUUGGGGGUAAAGGGUGCGCAGGCGGUCCUGCAAGUUUGGAGGGAAACGCAUGGGCUCAACCCAUGAAUGGCUUUGGAAACUGGAGGACUGGAGAGCAAGAGAGGGCGGUGGAACUCCAGGUGUAGCGGUAAAAUGCGUAGAUAUAGGGAAGAACACCAGUGGCGAAGGCGGCGGCCUGGCCUGUGGCUGACGCUGAGGCACGAAAGCGUGGGGAGCAAAUAGGAUUAGAUACCCUUGUAGUC